GCCGCCUUAGCUCAGUUGGUAGAGCGCCCCACUUGUAAUGGGAAGGUCGUCGGUUCGAUUCCGACAGGCGGCU
This 73-nucleotide transfer RNA is filed under the name Streptomyces sp. SPB4. RNAcentral's name for it is "tRNA-Thr". It matches the Rfam family "tRNA". Rfam says of the family: Transfer RNA (tRNA) molecules are approximately 80 nucleotides in length. Their secondary structure includes four short double-helical elements and three loops (D, anti-codon, and T loops). Further hydrogen bonds mediate the characteristic L-shaped molecular structure. tRNAs have two regions of fundamental functional importance: the anti-codon, which is responsible for specific mRNA codon recognition, and the 3' end, to which the tRNAs corresponding amino acid is attached (by aminoacyl-tRNA synthetases). tRNAs cope with the degeneracy of the genetic code in two manners: having more than one tRNA (with a specific anti-codon) for a particular amino acid; and 'wobble' base-pairing, i.e. permitting non-standard base-pairing at the 3rd anti-codon position. Lineage: Bacteria; Bacillati; Actinomycetota; Actinomycetes; Kitasatosporales; Streptomycetaceae. RNAcentral also lists the same sequence under 2 other names. The record is from RNAcentral.